UCUCAAUGACCAUUGUUUUUACAAAACAUUAAUGAAAAUUAAAAAACCCAAGUCUCCUCCUCGUGAUUUUAUUUUACAAUAAUAAGCCAAGCCCCAAGUUCCCUCAUUUCUAACUAUUCAUCCACCACGUUAUAACCGCCCACUCCAUCGUGCCGUCCACUCCACCGCGCCGUCUACUCCACUGAUGUCCUCUCUACCGAGGCCGACUCCACGCUUCUUCAAUUCAAAACGUAUGAAAAAUCGAAGAGAAAUUCGAUAAUUUGAGUUAUCAUGGGGAAAUUAGGGUCUAUAUCAGGAGGAAUUUGGGGGAAAUUAGGAAAAAGAGGUUCGUAGCUCCGCCAGGCCGGCACACCGAGCAAUCAAGAACGCACGGCGCCAAAAGGCCCGACGGCCCUAUCUCAGUUCGUCAGUUUCUCAGCUUUCACGGAUCAGAACUUGAUUCAAGCAGCAACAGGAUUGCCAGCAAAUUGAUAUUAUCCAUUCCCUUCAGAGCACCCUGGUGUUUGAAAUGGUUUUAAUCCCACUUUCUUUCCUGUCAAUCAGGACAUCGGUGAAGAGUUAGAAGGGCUCAAUGUUGUUCAGCAGCACAUCAAGUUUCACUAAAAUGCUCACAUAUGAGAUCCCCUAUUUAAGCUAGACUGGUUUGACGCUCCGAAUAACAGCAGUAAACUGAUGCGUUCUUGCCUUAUCAAUUUCAACACAAUAGAUUAUUUUUGGUUUAAAGUAGAAGACACGAACAUAAAUAUAUAUUGUAAUAAUCUAGUUAACAAUGUAUUAUAAACACAAAUGAUAUAAAAUUUGUAACUUUUAUGUA
Molecule: long non-coding RNA, 814 nt
Organism: Chenopodium quinoa (quinoa)
Lineage: Eukaryota; Viridiplantae; Streptophyta; Magnoliopsida; Caryophyllales; Amaranthaceae
Exons: 3
Source: RefSeq, a predicted model, not a curated record